RNAcentral lists this ribosomal RNA (441 nucleotides) under uncultured bacterium. RNAcentral describes it as "partial 16S ribosomal RNA". It matches the Rfam family "Bacterial small subunit ribosomal RNA", at positions 338 to 795 of the family's 1533-position model. The record is from RNAcentral.
CCUACGGGUGGCAGCAGUGGGGGAUAUUGCACAAUGGGGGGAACCCUGAUGCAGCGACGCCGCGUGGGUGAAGGAGUGCUUCGGCAUGUAAAGCCCUAUCGGCAGGGAAGAAGCAAGACGGUACCUGACUAAGAAGCCCCGGCUAACUACGUGCCAGCAGCCGCGAUAAUACGUAGGGGGCGAGCGUUAUCCGGAUUCACUGGGUGUAAAGGGAGCGUAGACGGCCAUGCAAGCCAGGGGUGAAAGGCCGGGGCCCAACCCCGGGACUGCCCUUGGAACUGCAGGGCUUGAGUGCGGGAGGGGCAGGCGGAAUUCGUGGUGUAGCGGUGAAAUGCGUAGAUAUCAGGAGGAACACCGGCGGCGAAGGCGGCCUGCUGGACUGCGACUGACGUUGAGGCUCGAAAGCGUGGGGAGCGAACAGGAUUAGAUACCCUUGUAGUC